RNAcentral lists this ribosomal RNA (446 nucleotides) under uncultured bacterium. Its description in RNAcentral is "partial 16S ribosomal RNA". It matches the Rfam family "Bacterial small subunit ribosomal RNA", at positions 338 to 795 of the family's 1533-position model. The record is from RNAcentral.
CCUACGGGUGGCAGCAGUCGAGAAUCUUUCACAAUGGGGGAAACCCUGAUGGUGCGACGCCGCGUGGGGGAAUGAAGGUCUUCGGAUUGUAAACUCCUGUCAUGUGGGAGCAAAUUAAAAAGAUAGUACCACAAGAGGAAGAGACGGCUAACUCGGUGCCAGCAGCCGCGGUAAUACAGAGGUCUCAAGCGUGGUUCGGAAUCAGUUGGCGUAAAGCGUGCGUAGGCUGGUUCGUAAGGCGUGUGUGAAAGGCGCGGGCUCAACCCGCGGACGGCACAUGAUAAUGUGUGACUAGAGUAAUGGAGGGGGAAGCGGAAUUCUCGGUGUAGCAGUGAAAUGCGUAGAUAUCGAGAGGAACACUCGUGGCGAAGGCGGGUUCCUGGACAUUAACUGACGCUGAGGCACGAAGGCCAGGGGAGCGAAAGGGAUUAGAUACCCGUGUAGUC